Molecule: long non-coding RNA, 200 nt
Organism: Thalassophryne amazonica
Lineage: Eukaryota; Metazoa; Chordata; Actinopteri; Batrachoidiformes; Batrachoididae
Exons: 3
Source: RefSeq, a predicted model, not a curated record
CUAAAAACUUUAUUACUCCCUUAGGGAAACUGAGGUUCCAGCAGCAUUGUAUAGCAGUACACAGGGUAAGAAGCACACAGAGUAUCAAAAGUGAAAGCAAAAAAACAAUCUGCAAAUACAAAUACCAGAAAUAUCGCUCGCUACUGAUUUUACUGGCUACUACUGUUCUUCUCCUUCCCGUCCUCUGUCUUCCUGUUGCU